Molecule: non-coding RNA, 1836 nt
Organism: Rattus norvegicus (Norway rat)
Lineage: Eukaryota; Metazoa; Chordata; Mammalia; Rodentia; Muridae
Source: RefSeq, a predicted model, not a curated record
GAUACAAAAGAUUUUUCAGGGAGGCCUAAUGAUGAUGUCACUGAGAACUGCCAUGUCCUUAGCUGCUGAGCAGCGUUCCUUUCAUUGACCAGAUUCGAGGGUGUCCUUUCCAGGAGAGUCUCCUAAUGCACAGUUGAAACCUUUACAUACUCCAUCUCUCUAAACCUAGAGACUUCUCUCUGCUUCACUAGUAGUUAAAAGCUCUGAAUGGAGAAAGUUAGUCAGGGUCUUGGCAUGGGUAGAAAACAUUUAGGAACAUGGAAUAUAGGAGAUCUUCUAGAUAAUACUUAUAUCCCCAGGUUCAUACCUGUGACUCAGUUCAACAUUCUAAGUAUUCUGUUUCCCAAAGGCCAGUAUUUUCCCUACAGACGUUUAAUUGAAUUAAUAUUGUAUUUCAAUUUCUUAUUGAAAAUUCGUUGAUAGGGGACUUUGAAAAUAUUCCUCAAUGUGUACUCAAAAAUUCUGUUUUCCAAUUCCAUUUUCUGCAAAGAUUUUGGCAACAAAGGGGGCCCAACUAUAGAGUAAGCAUAACAGUGUAAAUAGUGUAUACCUAAUUCAAAUUACAAAUUCCCAAAUCCUUAUUUUAACAAAAAAUUACCAGAUAACAGAAAAGCAAAGCACAACAUGGACUAUUGAAUUCGGUUCUCUAGUCCCAUUUGAUAUCAGUUCUGCAAUAUCUACCUUCCUGAGUUUCAUUCCCAUACUUGAGGGUUUUGAGUAUUUUACCAUGAUUAGUUAUUAAGGCCAAACAUAAGAUAUAGGAGGCUGGGCAUCUAGAGGAAUGACUUGAGGACCAGUGACGCCUCAAUUUCAGAAGUUUCAAAAAACAGGAUGGAGUCUAUUUGGUGUUGCCAUUUGUGGAUUCUACAGUCUUGACCUAGAUAUGCAGAACCCAUGUCAAAAUUCCAGCUAAACUCAGAGCUGUAGGAGCCACCAAAAGUACAUACAUAUACAUCAGCCACCAAAACUAGACAAGAUUGAUGAAGGUAAGUGCAUUCUUCCAGGAAUCAGAUAUAGAUAUUUCCUGAGAGACACAACUAGAUUAUGCCAAAUACAGAAGUGAAUGCUAGUGGCAAACCAGUGAACUGAAAAUGGACUUCUUGUUUGUAGAUUUUCAGGAAAGAUUACAAGAGCUGAAGGGGCUUUAACACCAUAAGAACGACAAUGCUAAUGAACCAGAGCUUUCUGAUACUAGACCUAUGUUCAAGAAUGUACAUGGACAGAGUUAUGGCUCCAACUGCAUAUGUGGAAGAGGAUGGACUUGGAACCACUUGAAGCAGGGAAGUCCAGAUGCUUCUGACACGCUCCGAGCUCCGAGCUCCUGAUCCCAUGUGUGGAAGGCUCAGAUCAAUUCUAUCUCUUCAAGACAGGAGGGUAGCAUUAUUGUCCUCUGCAAGACUCAACGGAGCAGCCGACUGACACAGGUGCACAGACAUACGGCCAAAUAUCGAAUGGAGCUCAGUGAGUCUCACUGAAGGGCUGAGGGAAGGGCAGACAGAGACAGAGGAGCAAAAUGAUCUUCAGGUGGGGUCACUAAACCAGUCGCUUGUCUGUGGAUCCUGUUCUCCUACCCGGGCUGCGUUUUCAGGACCUGGUGGGAGACGAUGAAUCUAGUUGAGUAGAGACUUGAUGUGCCAGGGGAGAGGGUGAACCCAGAGGGGUCCUCCACUCUCUCAGAUAAGAAGGGGAGAGGAUAGAAGGAGGGAGUAUAAAUGGUAGGAGCCUGGAGGAGUGUGGUUCCAGGGCAGCAUUCAGAAUGCUACCUGGUGAAUAGAUGCAACCAUUCUAGCAAGGGACUCAGGCAUGACAUCACUGGGAAGGGGGCGGGACAUCAUG